GUGAGGAAUAUUGCGCAAUGGAGGCAACUCUGACGCAGCCAUGCCGCGUGCAGGAAGAAGGCGCUACGCGUUGUAAACUGCUUUUAACCGGGAAGAAACCCCAGGACGUGUCCUGGGUUGACGGUACCGGAGGAAUAAGCACCGGCUAACUUCGUGCCAGCAGCCGCGGUAAUACGAAGGGUGCAAGCGUUAUCCGGAUUCAUUGGGUUUAAAGGGUGCGUAGGCGGAGCGUUAAGUCAGUGGUGAAAUCCUGCAGCUUAACUGUAGACUUGCCAUUGAUACUGGCGCGCUUGAGUGCGCUUGAAGUGGGUGGAAUGUGCCGUGUAGCGGUGAAAUGCUUAGAUAUGGCACAGAACACCAAUUGCGAAGGCAGCUCACUAAGGCGAUACUGACGCUGAGGCACGAAAGCGUGGGGAUCGAACAGGAUUAGAAACCCGGGUAGUCC
RNAcentral lists this ribosomal RNA (445 nucleotides) under uncultured bacterium. RNAcentral describes it as "partial 16S ribosomal RNA". It matches the Rfam family "Bacterial small subunit ribosomal RNA", at positions 354 to 796 of the family's 1533-position model. The record is from RNAcentral.